GGCUGAAAUUCGCCUUCAUGAAGCCGGAAUUGCUAGUAAUGGCAGGUCAGCAUACUGCCGUGAAUACGUUCCCGGGCCUUGUACACACCGCCCGUCACACCAUGAGAGUUGGGAAUACCCGAAGCCUGUGAGCUAACGUAAGGGGCAGCAGUCGAAGGUAGAAUCAAUGAUUGGGGUGAAGUCGUAACAAGGUAAC
RNAcentral lists this ribosomal RNA (196 nucleotides) under uncultured bacterium. RNAcentral's name for it is "partial 16S ribosomal RNA". It matches the Rfam family "Bacterial small subunit ribosomal RNA", at positions 1303 to 1500 of the family's 1533-position model. The record is from RNAcentral.